UAAACCAUUUAGGUGUCUGGUGUGGGACAGU
This 31-nucleotide non-coding RNA is filed under the name Mus musculus (house mouse). The record is from RNAcentral. Lineage: Eukaryota; Metazoa; Chordata; Mammalia; Rodentia; Muridae.